UGGCGGACGGGUGAGUAAUGUCUGGGAAACUGCCUGAUGGAGGGGGAUAACUACUGGAAACGGUAGCUAAUACCGCAUAACGUCGCAAGACCAAAGAGGGGGACCUUCGGGCCUCUUGCCAUCGGAUGUGCCCAGAUGGGAUUAGCUAGUAGGUGGGGUAACGGCUCACCUAGGCGACGAUCCCUAGCUGGUCUGAGAGGAUGACCAGCCACACUGGAACUGAGACACGGCCAG
This 234-nucleotide ribosomal RNA is filed under the name uncultured bacterium. RNAcentral's name for it is "partial 16S ribosomal RNA". It matches the Rfam family "Bacterial small subunit ribosomal RNA", at positions 96 to 334 of the family's 1533-position model. RNAcentral also lists the same sequence under 1 other name. The record is from RNAcentral.